This 554-nucleotide ribosomal RNA is filed under the name Mycobacterium conspicuum. RNAcentral describes it as "bacterial SSU rRNA". It matches the Rfam family "Bacterial small subunit ribosomal RNA", at positions 44 to 601 of the family's 1533-position model. Lineage: Bacteria; Bacillati; Actinomycetota; Actinomycetes; Mycobacteriales; Mycobacteriaceae. The record is from RNAcentral.
GUGCUUAACACAUGCAAGUCGAACGGAAAGGCCCCUUCGGGGGUACUCGAGUGGCGAACGGGUGAGUAACACGUGGGUGAUCUGCCCUGCACUUCGGGAUAAGCCUGGGAAACUGGGUCUAAUACCGGAUAGGACCACUUGGCGCAUGCCUUGUGGUGGAAAGCUUUUGCGGUGUGGGAUGGGCCCGCGGCCUAUCAGCUUGUUGGUGGGGUCACGGCCUACCAAGGCUCCGACGGGUAGCCGGCCUGAGAGGGUGUCCGGCCACACUGGGACUGAGAUACGGCCCAGACUCCUACGGGAGGCAGCAGUGGGGAAUAUUGCACAAUGGGCGCAAGCCUGAUGCAGCGACGCCGCGUGGGGGAUGACGGCCUUCGGGUUGUAAACCUCUUUCACCAUCGACGAAGGUCCGGGUUUUCUCGGAUUGACGGUAGGUGGAGAAGAAGCACCGGCCAACUACGUGCCAGCAGCCGCGGUAAUACGUAGGGUGCGAGCGUUGUCCGGAAUUACUGGGCGUAAAGAGCUCGUAGGUGGUUUGUCGCGUUGUUCGUGAAAUC